AUUCUCCUGCCUCAGACUCCGGAGUAGCUGGGACUACAGGCGCCCGCCACCAAGCCUGGCUAAUUUUUUGUAUUUUUAGUAGAGAUGGGGUUUCACCGUGUUAGCCAGGAUGGUCUAGAUCUCCUGACCUCUUGAUCCACCCGCCUUGGCCUCCCAAAGUGCUGGGAUUAAUGGUGUGAGCCACCUCGCCCAGCCUGGAGCCCUUUCUUUAAUAUAAACAUAAAUGUUAGUCAACUUGUUUAAAUAUAAACAUGUGAGCUGCUUGAGCACAGGGACUACAUCAUAAUGUUUUUUGCUCUCUUACAUGUCUCAUCAACGAAUGGAUUAGAUGCUGUUUUCCCCUUUGGUGAGCUGCUGGCCGAGUUACUUAAAAUACCCUUUGUCUACAGCCUCCGCUUCUCUCCUGGCUACGCAAUUGAAAAGCAUAGUGGAGGACUUCUGUUCCCUCCUUCCUAUGUGCCUGUUGUUAUGUCAGAACUAAGUGACCAAAUGACUUUCAUAGAGAGGGUAAAAAAUAUGAUCUAUGUGCUUUAUUUUGAAUUUUGGUUCCAAAUAUUUGACAUGAAGAAGUGGGAUCAGUUCUACAGUGAAGUUCUAGGAAGACCCACUACGUUAUCUGAGACAAUGGCAAAAGCUGACAUAUGGCUUAUUCGAAACUACUGGGAUUUUCAAUUUCCUCACCCACUCUUACCAAAUGUUGAGUUCGUUGGAGGACUCCACUGCAAACCUGCCAAACCCCUACCGAAGGAAAUGGAAGAGUUUGUCCAGAGCUCUGGAGAAAAUGGUGUUGUGGUGUUUUCUCUGGGGUCGAUGGUCAGUAACACGUCAGAAGAAAGGGCCAAUGUAAUUGCAUCAGCCCUUGCCAAGAUCCCACAAAAGGUUCUGUGGAGAUUUGAUGGGAAUAAACCAGAUACUUUAGGACUCAAUACUCGGCUGUACAAGUGGAUACCCCAGAAUGAUCUUCUUGGUCACCCAAAAACCAGAGCUUUUAUAACUCAUGGUGGAGCCAAUGGCAUCUAUGAGGCGAUCUACCAUGGAAUCCCUAUGGUGGGCGUUCCAUUGUUUGCAGAUCAACCUGAUAACAUUGCACACAUGAAGGCCAAGGGAGCAGCUGUUAGUUUGGACUUACACACAAUGUCGAGUACAGACUUACUCAAUGCACUGAAGACAGUAAUUAAUGAUCCUUU
This 1187-nucleotide small RNA is filed under the name Pan troglodytes (chimpanzee). Its description in RNAcentral is "processed transcript". Lineage: Eukaryota; Metazoa; Chordata; Mammalia; Primates; Hominidae. The record is from RNAcentral.